GACACGGUGACCACCUGACCCGAGCACCGGGCCGCCCAACCGUAUUUUUGUCCCGGACUCCUGUCCGUUGUCAACUGUCACCCUGGCAUCAGUCGGACGCUAGCUUUCCUACGCCAGCGGUGCUGGUGGCCCACCAUGGUCCCUGACACCCGGGCAUUCAUCGCAGCUUGCCCCACCUGUGUUCGGAACAAGACCACCAAUAGGCCCCACUCCUGCCUCCUUCACCCUCUACCCAUUCCUCCUCGGCCCUGGUCUCACAUUGCCGUGGACUUCGUCACCGGUCUCCCCGCCUCUUACGGUUUGGCGCGCAGGUUUCUGGGCAGCUCUGGGAGCCACCACUAGCCUCUCUUCAGGUUACCACCCACCGUCCAAUGAACGAAUCAAGAGAUGGAGGCCAUGCUGCACUGCGUCACCUCUUCCAACCCUUCGUCCUGGAGCACCCAAUUACCAUGGCCCACAACUCCCUCUCUAGUGCCUCUACAGGCCGGUCUCCGUUCCAAUGCUCCCUGGGUUACCACCCCCCCUAUCCCCACCCUCUAUGAUGAAAUGACCCUGAUUGGGAUCCUAACUAUGUUUAUGUAGAAAAGCUUGGGUCAGGCUCCAGAACUCUACUAGGCCUUCUCGUGCUGACAGCUCAUUGGCCAGUGUAACAAUACGCCUUGGUGUACCGCUCACACUAGAAGAGCUACGACGACAGUAUCAAACUUUAAAUACGUUUGAAAAUAAUCAGGACCUAGCAGACUGAAUCGGCAAGACAGGGAUGCAACUAUUGGGACUUGUUGACCUUCUAGUCAGGCAGACACUGUAAGAAUUGGGCCUUUUAGUAACCCGAUUUGUCACAGACUAUAUUUUAAGAUUGGAAGCCUAAUUGCUUCUUGUUUGGCAUGCAGUGUGAGGGGGUUUAUGAUACCCGAAUAAUGGCCUGAGCGAGCCACGAUUUAGAAAUUGGACUGUACGAAUGUGCGUCAACUAAUUUCACCCCGUAGUCGAGGCAUAUUGCUUGUCGUUUUACGUGCAGUUCAAAGGUGGUAACGAUGCUCCGAUUCAUUUCUUCAGCCAGCUACGAGUAAUCGGAGGUAUUUCUGAGAGUCUCAUGAUCUGAUUUCCUGAAAGUUCUUGUGCGCUUGUGCAUACCAACAAACCCAAUGCGGGAAUGAAGCGCAAACACAGACAGUUCCGUCAACAGGGGAACUUUCUCUACAAAACAAAAAUACCAUUUGUCGAUGUCUGUACAGUCAUUAGCGGUUCCAUAUUUGUACUGGCCUUAGCUAGAUCUGACAGGACCCUCUAGUCAUGUGCCCCUAUCAGCUGACGACUAACGCUGUCCAAUCAAACACACGUACACUGAUAAGUGGCCAUUUUAAGACCUUCCAUCUCAAACUCUCACUCUGCGGAAGUUAGGUAGGCUGAGCCGAAUUUGGCCUACCCCCACCCCAGCCUCCCCCUGCUUUGGUUCUACUCUGUCUGUAAUGUGACCUAUACGAUGGGUUGAGAUAAGUGUAUUUACAUCCAGGCUUACUAGCGGCCAGAUCAAUGCAUUGUCAUGGUGUCCUUUCUCGUUGAUUUGAUUUUUUGUUGUAAUUGGAACCCAUCAAUAGAUGCACAAUUGGGAGCAUGUGGUCUCUAAAAAUUGGAAAAUUGGGUUUAUGUUUGCCCGAUAUUAAAAGACGCUUUUAUAUAGAAACCAUAUUUUUUAUUGUUUAAAACAAUGCAAGCAUUCAUACAAAUCAAUGUGUUUAAAACUGUUAAAAUACAAGCAUCAUUUUAAAGUUACUGUUCCAUGUACAUCUUCAAUCAGUAUGUUAACAUAUUAUUAACUCUCUAUGACCUAAUCAACAAAUGUUCAUGAACUUAAAGUGCUACCCAUGACUGUUUCAAAGCCUUGACGACACUAGUAAACAAAUACAUAAAUGAAAGUCACACCGACACAACUCUGAAAUAUACAAUCAUAUGAAAUACAGUAGCUUGUGUCCAAGCUGUACUUCUGCUAGAUUAUAUUUGUUCUAAAUUAGUGUAAUCAUCUCUCUAAAGUGCUUUAGCUACAAUCUUACAGUGCAUUGCAAGAGGUGCCUGUGCCUGCAUGUGAAGUUUGUGAAUAACUGACUUUCUGUAAGGUUUUUCUGUAGUGCUUCCUGUGUGUACGACAUGGUUUUAGCUGCAUUAGUUCUUGACAGAAAUCCAAGUAAAUCAUUUCAAUGCAUUCUACACAUUCCAACGCCAUACAAACUAGCCAAGGUCUCUAGCAU
Long non-coding RNA from Gadus macrocephalus (Pacific cod), 2246 nucleotides. RefSeq lists it as uncharacterized. The transcript is spliced from 2 exons. The record is from RefSeq and is a predicted model, not a curated record. Lineage: Eukaryota; Metazoa; Chordata; Actinopteri; Gadiformes; Gadidae.